Molecule: ribosomal RNA, 400 nt
Filed under: phytoplankton environmental sample
Lineage: Eukaryota
Description: partial small subunit ribosomal RNA
Rfam family: Eukaryotic small subunit ribosomal RNA
Source: RNAcentral
AGCUCCAAUAGCAUAUACCAAUUCUGUUGCUGUUAAAAAGCUCGUAGUUGGAUCGAUUCCAAAGAACUUCUCUGUCUGAGUGACAUGUAGGAGUCUCUGAGGAUGCUUUCGCUGGUUUUCCCUUGGUGCUCUUCACCGGGUGCCUUGGGUGGCUAGCAUGUUUACUUUGAAAAAAUUAGAGUGCUCAAAACAGGCGUUACUGCCCGAAUAGUGGUGCAUGGAAUAAUGGAAUAGGAUCUCGGUUCUAUUUUGUUGGUUUUAGGGACACGAGAUAAUGAUUAAGAGGGACAGACGGGGGCAUUUGUACUGCGGCGUUAGAGGUGAAAUUCUUGGAUCGCCGCAUGACGAACAAUUGCGAAAGCAUUUGCCAAGAAUGUUUUCAUUAAUCAAGAACGAAAGU